ACAAAUGAAGCAUUGGACCGACUUCUCCAAAGAAAAAAUCCUUUGUGGUUUAUCCUUUUUCCUAAGAAAACCUACAUUCCUAUUCUCCUUUUUUUUUUUUUACCAAAUUGACUAAAAAUCAUCCAACAUCCUUUCAUUCAAUCUUGGAUCUAAUCACAUCUUUGAUACAUUUAUAAAAAUCUAUUUUAUUGAAGAAGAAACAUGUAGAUCUGAAGCAAUUGAAGAGUAAGGGUUUCCAUGGUCUUUUUCAAGUUAAAAUUGUUGAAUCCAAACACAAGUUAUAGCAGAUCGAUUUGCUUAUAUUCUAGGAAGUUCAUCUUUCUUAACUACUGUGAAAGCAAAUUGGGUCUUUCUUUUGGUGAAGCUUUAACUAUACACAAGGAACCAUUAUUUGGGGCUCACAAGUGUACAACUCCAAAUUUAUCUCCAAAUGUUGAAGCUGAUGGGGGUAAGGCAAAGUGGGAAAGCAAAGUUGACUUCGGGUGAGGCCUCCCAACACACUUGCAGCCAAUGGUAAACCUUGACACAUUUCAACCGUUCUAUUCCCCAUGCUUACUAAUCCCUCUGGAACCUGCCCAUCAUCAAAUGCUCUUUGUUUGAAAAUGGACCAACAAUGAUCUUCUAAUUUUCCCAACAUAUGAAGAUCUACUGCUACUAGGGAUGCUAUCCAUUUCAUACGAGUUGUCACGAGAAUGCAGUUUCCUAUGGAUGGAUGUAUUUAUUCCUUUCAAUGAUCAGUUCAACAAAGCUCUUAGUCUUCGACAUUUCAGGUAGACACAAAAAAACUCUCUUUUCAAAGUGUUUCUUGAUAUGUUCAUCAUUGAAAAUUCUCUUAGCUAUGAGAAUGGUGCAAUCUGGAUGCUUUGGUGAAGCUUUGUCUGUAUACAAGGAACGAUUAUCUUGGGCUCAAAAAAUGGAGAAGCGGAUAACUACACUUAGAGAACCUCCAAAUUUAUCUGGAUGGGAUUUGCAAAAUGUUGCUAAUAGGUGUGAAUUUAAAUUUAUGGAGAAUAUCAUAAAACAAGUCCUACAAGAGGCCAACCAGACACCUCUAGAUGUUGCUUGAAAUCCAGUUGGAGUAGAUGCUCGUAUCAACAACAUGGUUGGUAUAUAUGGCAUUGGUGGAAUAGGAAAAACAACUUUGACAAAAGGUAUCUACAAGACUACAACCAAAUAUUUUAGUAAUUUGGUUGUAGUUUGCUUCCUUUCAAAUAUUGGAUCCCGAAGCAUUUAAUGGACAAAUUUUCAAAAGUAAAGACUUCAAAGUUAACAGUGUUACUGAAGGCAUCAAACUAAUCAAAGCAAGACUCGGGUUAAAGAAGGUUCUAUUGUUCUUGAUCAGCUUUUGUGAUAUUGGAGUCGCAUUUGCAAGGAAGAUUGGUAACUAAAUGAAGACAUCAAGUCCAAAAAUUAAGAGCAAUUCCUUGUAGUGAUAUCCAAAGAUGAGCUUUUGAUGGACUUGAUGAUGAUACUCACUUUUGAAGUUUUAUUUAAUAUAAUAUGAAUAUUAUUCUGAA
Long non-coding RNA from Solanum tuberosum (potato), 1517 nucleotides. RefSeq lists it as uncharacterized. The record is from RefSeq and is a predicted model, not a curated record. The transcript is spliced from 3 exons. NCBI's taxonomy places the organism in Eukaryota, Viridiplantae, Streptophyta, Magnoliopsida, Solanales, Solanaceae.